GAUGAACGCUGGCGGCGUGCCUAAUACAUGCAAGUCGAGCGAACAGAUGAGGAGCUUGCUCCUCUGACGUUAGCGGCGGACGGGUGAGUAACACGUGGAUAACCUACCUAUAAGACUGGGAUAACUUCGGGAAACCGGAGCUAGUACCGGAUAAUAUAUUGAACCGCAUGGUUCAAUAGUGAAAGACGGUUUUGCUGUCACUUAUAGAUGGAUCCGCGCCGCAUUAGCUAGUUGGUAAGGUAACGGCUUACCAAGGCAACGAUGCGUAGCCGACCUGAGAGGGUGAUCGGCCACACUGGAACUGAGACACGGUCCAGACUCCUACGGGAGGCAGCAGUAGGGAAUCUUCCGCAAUGGGCGAAAGCCUGACGGAGCAACGCCGCGUGAGUGAUGAAGGUCUUCGGAUCGUAAAACUCUGUUAUUAGGGAAGAACAAAUGUGUAAGUAACUAUGCACGUCUUGACUGUACCUAAUCAGAAAGCCACGGCUAACUACGUG
RNAcentral lists this ribosomal RNA (497 nucleotides) under uncultured bacterium. Its description in RNAcentral is "partial 16S ribosomal RNA". It matches the Rfam family "Bacterial small subunit ribosomal RNA", at positions 28 to 507 of the family's 1533-position model. The record is from RNAcentral.